This 339-nucleotide ribosomal RNA is filed under the name uncultured Acidobacteriota bacterium. RNAcentral's name for it is "bacterial SSU rRNA". It matches the Rfam family "Bacterial small subunit ribosomal RNA", at positions 28 to 351 of the family's 1533-position model. Lineage: Bacteria; Pseudomonadati; Acidobacteriota. The record is from RNAcentral.
AAUGAACGCUGGCGGCGUGCUUAACACAUGCAAGUCGUGCGCGAAAGCGGCUUCGGCCGCGUGUAGAGCGGCGAACGGGUGAGUAACACGUGGACAACCUGCCCAAGAGUGGGGGGAGUAACCUGGGGAAACUCGGGCUAAUACCGCAUACGUUCGUGGGGUUUCGGCCCUGCGCAGAAAGGUGGCCUAUGCUUGCAAGCCACCGCUCAUGGAGGGGUCCGCGCCUGAUUAGCUAGUUGGCGGGGUAAUGGCCCACCAAGGCGACGAUCAGUAGCCGGCCUGAGAGGGUGAUCGGCCACACUGGAACUGAGACACGGUCCAGACUCCUACGGGAGGCUG